This 253-nucleotide ribosomal RNA is filed under the name uncultured bacterium. RNAcentral's name for it is "partial 16S ribosomal RNA". It matches the Rfam family "Bacterial small subunit ribosomal RNA", at positions 524 to 776 of the family's 1533-position model. The record is from RNAcentral.
UACGUAGGCAGCAAGCGUUGUUCGGAAUUACUGGGCGUAAAGAGCGUGUAGGCGGUGCUCUAAGUUUGGUGUGAAAUCUCCCGGCUCAACUGGGAGGGUGCGCCGAAAACUGGAAUGCUUGAACGUGGGAGAGGAAAGCGGAAUUCCUGGUGUAGCGGUGAAAUGCGUAGAUAUCAGGAGGAACACCUGCGGUGUAGACGGCUUUCUGGACCAUUGUUGACGCUGAGACACGAAAGCGUGGGUAGCAAACAGG